GCUAAACGCGAAGAACCUUACCCAGGCUUGACAUCCUGUUAAUUUCUCCGAAAGGAGAGAGUGCCUUCGGGCCGCAGUGACAGGUGAUGCAUGGCCGUCGUCAGCUCGUGUCGUGAGAUGUUUGGUUAAGUCCAUCAACGAGCGCAACCCUUAUGAGUAGUUGUAUUUCUCUACUCAGACUGCCCUGGUAACAGGGAGGAAGGAGGGGAUGAUGUCAGGUCAGUAUCUCCCUUACGUCUGGGGCUACAAACACGCUACAAUGGCCGGUACAAAGGGCAGCCAACCCGCGAGGGGGAGCAAAUCCCAUCAAAGCCGGUCUCAGUUCGGAUUGUAGGCUGAAACUCGCCUGCAUGAAGCUGGAAUCGCUAGUAAUGGUAGGUCAGCACACUACCGUGAAUACGUUCCCGGGUCUUGUACACACCG
RNAcentral lists this ribosomal RNA (423 nucleotides) under uncultured bacterium. RNAcentral describes it as "bacterial SSU rRNA". It matches the Rfam family "Bacterial small subunit ribosomal RNA", at positions 954 to 1392 of the family's 1533-position model. The record is from RNAcentral.